GGGGUGUAGCUCAGUUGUAAAGUGCUUGCUUAGCAAGCACAAGGCCCUGGGCUAGAUUCCCAGCACCACCA
Ictidomys tridecemlineatus (thirteen-lined ground squirrel) is the source of this 71-nucleotide non-coding RNA. The record is from Rfam. NCBI's taxonomy places the organism in Eukaryota, Metazoa, Chordata, Mammalia, Rodentia, Sciuridae.